RNAcentral lists this ribosomal RNA (104 nucleotides) under Cuora pani (Pan's box turtle). Its description in RNAcentral is "partial 16S ribosomal RNA". The record is from RNAcentral. Lineage: Eukaryota; Metazoa; Chordata; Testudines; Geoemydidae.
GCAAAAACCUAGCCCAACCAAAACAAAAAACUUAACAAACAAAACUAUCCCACCAAAACCAACCAAAACAUUUUCACCAUCCUAGUAUAGGCGAUAGAAAAGAC